This is a long non-coding RNA of Bombyx mori (domestic silkworm), 4998 nucleotides long. RefSeq lists it as uncharacterized. NCBI's taxonomy places the organism in Eukaryota, Metazoa, Arthropoda, Insecta, Lepidoptera, Bombycidae. The record is from RefSeq and is a predicted model, not a curated record. The transcript has 2 exons.
UUUUAAAAGAAUGAAAGAAGACAAAAGAAUAUUCAAACUAGUCAUCAGUAUACUCACUUCCAGCGCUGUUCUCGUCAGCACCGGCCAGGAGCACAGCUACUUGAACAUCAUCGCUGACAAGAGCAGUUCCAACAUCGUACUAUCAAACAGUAAUUACAUUUGAGCACAUCUAAUUGAUUACUGGUGGCCCGGAGACCUAACAACUCAAGAGCAACUGCUGCGCGAAUGAAUCUACUACCGGAUCGGAAUCGCGACCCGCUGAGAUCCGGCCAGAAACUCAGCGAGCUGAUGCAUGAGUUAAGGCCGUAACGUCUCAAUAUUGUGACAUCUGUGGGCUCCGCUAAAACAUCAAAAGAAGAGAAGAGAAGGAAGACAUUAGAAGGAAAGAACAUAUAAAAACUUUAUGUGACAGCUUAAAUAUAGUUUAAUUUAGUACUCUACUCAGUGAUGCACUGGCGUAAUCGUGCAUACCCUGAAUACUAAGACCAGAUUGAUUUAUUUAUUUGUUAAUCAAAAGCAAUAAAAAAUUAGUGUAAUUAGUCACAGGCUGUUUGCCAACGGUGAUCGGACCAAUGAACCAGAGAUCACUUCUAUCCUCCUCACCCGAAACUGCUUCUGUCGGGGAAAGCGGUAGGCAGCGGCUUGGCUCUGCUCCUGGUAUUGCUGAAGUCCAUGGGCGAUGGUAACCACUCACCAUUAGGUGAGCCAUAUGCUCGUAUGUCUACAAGGGCAAUAAAAAAAAUUUACCUACCGUUUACAGCUCGAAGUGCCGAUAGCUAGAUGCUAAUGUCAGUUCUGUGGUCACGGAUUGACUUGUAAUGUGGAAAUCUCGAAGGUCCCAGGCUCAUUAAAAUUCCCAACAUGGUACGUGAGGAAUGUCUACCUUCACGACGAUCUAAAUUUAGAACCGGUGUCUUAAGAUAGCGUUAGAACGCUAUUUCGACCAAACGGCGCGAAACGAUAAUCCUUUUAUCGUGGCCGCUGUCGACCGAAACAUGUCGUGACGGAUCCCUAGGACCUAGUGGUUUUAGGCCCCUCAAGCACCGGUCACCAUCCUCUUCGAACUCCUGGAUUAAGACGACGAGUUCGACGAACGAAGUUACCUAUACACACAACCCACUUAAUUUCUCGCCGGAUCUUCUCCGUGACUCACGAUUCCGAUCCGGUGGUAGAUUCUGUAAAGCACUGCCCUUGCUAGGACUAGUGUUAGCAAAUUGUCUCAGAUUGAGCGCGCGAGCUCACCUACCCGUUCGCCCUUCGAUGGAAUAGCCCCUUAGCCUACCACCGAAUAGAUAAGGAGGGAAAGUUCCAUUAUAGGUAAAAACCCGUACAUUAAUUUGAUUGAAAAUGUAAGCAGCGCCAGCGGCGAAAAUUUAAAGUAAUUUGUGAAUAAAGGCAACUUCACUCCACGCCUCUCGCUAGCCACUUUACUUUUUUUUUUAUUGCUAGAUGGUCGAACGAGCUCACGGCCCACCUGAUGUUAAGUGGUUACCGGGGCCCAUAGACAUCUCCAACAUAAAUGCCGCCAACCACCUUGAGACAAGAGUUCUAAGGUAUCAGUUUUACAAUAUAUCGGCUGCCCCACCCUUGAAACCGAAACGCAUUACUGCUUCACCGCAGAAAUAGGCAGGGCGGUGGUACUUACCCGCGCGGACUCACAAGAGGUCCUACCACCAGUAAUUAGGCAAAUUAUAAUUUUGCGGGUUUCAUUUAUAUUACACGAUGUUAUUCCUUCACCGUGGAAGUCAAUCGUGAACAUUUGUUGAGUACGUAUUUCAUUAGAAACAUUGGUACCCGCCUGGGAUUCGAACACCGGUGCAUCGCUCAACACGAAUGCACCGGACGUCUUAUCCCUAAUAGUGCUUCUUUGACGCUCUGAAGUGACCAGUAGACGGCACCAAAUUUAUUAAAUUAACAAAAACCAAAGUGGAAUAAUCAGACAUUUAAUUUAUGGAUGGAUUUUUUUCCCUACCUAAGCUUGUUUCCUCUAGAGGUCAUGCUAGCUUCGCCGAACGUGUAGGCGAGCUCACGGGGCUCAGCCUGGCGGCUUUCUUGUCCUCGAGCGACCCGGUUUAAGUAUGUGACAUAAACAACUGAAAACAAUCCAGUGGACGGUGCGUGCCCAGCCUCAAACCGGUCACGUCUCGUACAGGAGAUACGCGUGAUGACGCGUUUUGAAGUCGUCGUGGCCUAAAGGAUAAAACGUCCGGUGCACUGUAAUAAAAAUCAAACCCGAAAAAUUAUAAUUUGCUUAAUUACUGGCGGUAGGAACUCUUGUGAGUCCAUACGAGUAGGUACCAUCACCCUGCCUAUUUCAGCCGUGAAGCAGUAAUGCGUUUCAGUUUGAAGGAUGGGGCGUUGUAACUAUACUGAGACCUUAGAACUCAUAUCUCAAGGCGGGUAGCGGCAUUUACGUUAUAGAUGUCUAUGGGCUCCGGUAACCACUCAACACCAGGUGGGCUGUGAGCUCGUCCACCCGUCUAUGCAAUAAAAAUCAAAUAAAAUAAAAUAAAAGAGAUGUAGCCGGAUCGCGAGCACAUCUCCAGUUCACGUGAAUCACAUGAUCAAAGCAUGCUAUGGUAUUUAAAAGUGCACUGAUAACAAAAGCAUUAAGUUCUUUUCAAAAGACGAUCUGCAAUAAAGAUAAAUCGCGAACAUCACAGUGAUUCCUAUCUAAGGAUUACAUUACUUGAUUUUUGCAUGUCUGCAUUAGUAUUCAUAUUUUUAUCUAAGUCUUUCGUUAAUAUUGCUUGUUCGUUUUCCGGACAGGUGGCCCAAUGUGGAUUUUAGAGUGACCCACACUGGGUUUGUUAUCUGCGAACGAGGUGACGGAAUUGCAUUAGAGCAAAGUAUGAAGAGUCCGAGCAUAGCAUAGGAAGUCAUAUCAAACCGCGACGGGGCAACGCAAAACCGCUGUCGCCCGUCACAUGUCUUGUCGGAUUCCCUAGAUUCACUCUUGGUGCUUUUAGGUCCUUCAAGCACCGGUCAACGUCCUCGUCAAACUCAUCGAGUACGACGAAGAGUUCGACGAGCGAACUAACCCAUAGACACAGGAGACUCCGAUCCGGUGGUAGAUUCUGCGAAGCACUACUCUUGCUAGGGCUGGUGUUAGCAAAUUCUCUCAGGUUGAGCCCGUGAGCUCACCUACCCAUCCGGGUGUAACUGGAAUAGCCUAUUAGGCUACCAACAAAUAGGUAGGAGAAAAAACAUAGGAAGAUCGAUUGGUAUAUGCUUUUCGGGAUAUUGGGCCUAUAGAGAAAACCUACUGAGUUUCUCGUCGGAUCUUCUCAGUGGGUCAUGAUUCCGAUCCGGUGCUAGUUUCAGUAAAGCACUAUGGCUUGCUAGGGAUAGUGUUUGCAAGUCCUCUCAGUUCGAGCUAUUUGAAAUGGCUCCAUAGGCUACCAACGAUUAGUUAGCGAAAUAAUGGGAUUUUGGGAUAUUUUUUUAUAAAAUGAACUAAAAUCGUUAAUCAUUAAAUAAUUAGAAUUACAACCGACAUAAUGUAAAGGAAUUAUAAGAUUUUAAAAAGUGUUAUAGCAAUUCUACAUUUUACCUACAACGCUGCACUGUGAUGCGCAUACACAAAGAUAACCCUCAGUAAUCUACCCAUCGCCAGCACACUACGACGUCACCGAUCACUAUAUAAGCGGACGCAGCCCGUUUUCGAUAGCUAGACGGCAACGAGUACGAUAGCCCAGCAGUCUGCUCGUUUGUCCAAGCUUGAUCUGAGCGGUAGCCCCGCAGCCCUCAGAAAAAGCAUCAGCUAGGAGGUUAAGGAACGCAGUAGCCACGCAGUCCGUGCCAAGAACCACCCUUUUUUUUGGUAAGAAUGAAAUCGCCGGACUUCCACACUCCACUGGGGAUGGCGGGCGGGCCAAGUCGGAGUCGAACCGGCUAAAAACCUUCUGUCGCUCAACAAUCCACAUCUAAACCUCGCAUGAAACUGAGCUCAUGAAAAGGUAAAGGAGGGAAAUUGAGGUGUCUAGUCCGGAGCUCAUCUCUCCCAUCGCCCUCCCCCUCGGGACGCUGGACCGGCGGUCGUCGGCGCCACGACCACCAGCCCCCUCGGUCAGCUAUCCGAAGCCUGCCUAGAUGGCGCCCGUUUGAAUGGGUUAUCCCACUGAAUACCCCGCUGGAUUAGAACCAGCGUGGGUCCAAACCGGCCUUCCAUCACCCGGAUGCUCCUGCCUAAAACGCGUGAAGAGCAGCUUGCAUAUCGUCUUCUUAGACUCCUCUCGCCGGUCCCGAGACCGACAUGUGAGGGGGACCCGAAACAAUUAGAGGGAGGGCCAGGGCUUGGGCGAGAUCCGCCUCCCUGGCCCACGCUCGACGGCGGUGGGCUUUUACGUCUCUCACGCGCCCCACCGCCUCCUUCUGCGAGAUGGUGCACUCGCAAAAGUCGAGCAUUGCCUUCCAUGACUCAUCGUCGCCUAUUCAUUUCCUAUUUUUGCGAAGAGGUCACGGCGCCACCCCUCCCAUGCGGGGCAGACGACGAGCGCAUGCUCCGCCGUGUCCAAGUCGCAACCACAAUGGUGGCACUGUGCUAUCGGCUCGCUCCGAUCCGAUGCAAGAACUCACCAAAGCAAUCAUGCCCAGUGAGCACCUGCGAAGGCCGGAAAGUGAGGCGUACUCGGUCACGAUUUACCCAAUCCACAAGGACCGGGCGAAUCGCCUCGACGGUGCUACGACCAACUGAAGGAUCGGCCAGCCGCCUGGACCAUGACUCCAUAUGGGCAUCGUUAGGUGGCGCUGUCCGGGGGCUGUGGAACCACAUUGCCUCGGAUUUACUGAGCGCCACGUCGAGGCCCUAUCUCCUGAUUUUGCCGACAACAUGCGCCACCUCAGCGGUGGCAAGACGAGCAGACGCAGCGAAACCCCCCUCCCCGGGCCACGAUCAAGAACCCCCUUAGGAAUUUGUUUUUUUACCUAAAUAUCUACGUAUCCGUAUGUUUUUUGUAUUAUUAGUUAUAAGAAUGAAUAAAGUCCUGUUUAAUCAGA